ACUUAGUGGCGGACGGGUGAGUAACGCGUGGGUAACCUGCCCUGUACAGGGGGACAACAGUUGGAAACGACUGCUAAUACCGCAUAAGCCCACAGGUCGGCAUCGACCAGAGGGAAAAGGAGCAAUCCGCUUUGAGAUGGCCUCGCGUCCGAUUAGCUAGUUGGUGAGGUAACGGCCCACCAAGGCAACGAUCGGUAGCCGGACUGAGAGGUUGAACGGCCACAUUGGGACUGAGACACGGCCCAGACUCC
This 251-nucleotide ribosomal RNA is filed under the name uncultured Faecalibacterium sp. RNAcentral describes it as "partial 16S ribosomal RNA". It matches the Rfam family "Bacterial small subunit ribosomal RNA", at positions 90 to 339 of the family's 1533-position model. Lineage: Bacteria; Bacillati; Bacillota; Clostridia; Eubacteriales; Oscillospiraceae. The record is from RNAcentral.